This is a long non-coding RNA of Pantherophis guttatus, 594 nucleotides long. RefSeq lists it as uncharacterized. The record is from RefSeq and is a predicted model, not a curated record. NCBI's taxonomy places the organism in Eukaryota, Metazoa, Chordata, Lepidosauria, Squamata, Colubridae.
AUUUGUUCAACAAUCAUGAGGAAAUCAAGACUGACUGAAGUCACAAAAUAUACAAAAUAUAUAGGAGGCUGAUUGAAUCCAGCUCUCUUGAACCCCACUAAAAAGAAAAUUGUUUUGUUUUCUUUAGUUGGAGCUUCCAUUAUAGUCGAAGUAUUGGAAAUGAUUAUCUUCAACAAGAUGUAAAUUGGUACUGAUAUUCUGGGCUCCUCAGUCUAAACACUAAACUUGUAGUUUGAAUACCUUGAAGGUUGCCUCACUUUUUGUGACUGUCUUAUUUAAUCAGAUUUGAAUAAAUACAUCAAGCAUCAUGGCAGACUAACCUAUGGAACAAAACUUUUGGUGAAGCACUUCAAUGAAAACAUUAUAUGAAGACACGACAACCUAAAUUUUUUCAUCAGAUCCAAACUAAAUAGUGCUUGGCAAUUUCUUUGUUAUGAUGAUAAGUAUGCAAUGUACUUUGAAACUAAAAAGAGACCCUGUUACGUGACAAGGUUAUUCAAAUGGAACAUAGCCAGGAAGUUCUUUGUGAAGGUAUCAGCUGAGGGAAUAGCAACAAAUAAACAAAUAAAUAAAUAAAUAUCGUCACAGCAGCUA